GACGUAGGGCGCGAGCGUUGUCCGGAUUUAUUGGGCGUAAAGAGCUCGUAGGCGGCUUGUCGCGUCGUCCGUGAAAACCCACAGCUCAACUGUGGGCUUGCGGUCGAUACGGGCAGGCUAGAGUUCGGUAGGGGAGACUGGAAUUCCCGGUGUAGUGGUGGAAUGCGUAGAUAUCGGGAGGAACACCAGAGGCGAAGGCGGCGACCUGGACAGUAACUGACACUCAACUACGAAAGCGUGGGGAGCAAACAGG
This 253-nucleotide ribosomal RNA is filed under the name uncultured bacterium. RNAcentral describes it as "partial 16S ribosomal RNA". It matches the Rfam family "Bacterial small subunit ribosomal RNA", at positions 524 to 776 of the family's 1533-position model. The record is from RNAcentral.